RNAcentral lists this ribosomal RNA (208 nucleotides) under uncultured bacterium. RNAcentral describes it as "partial 16S ribosomal RNA". It matches the Rfam family "Bacterial small subunit ribosomal RNA", at positions 28 to 238 of the family's 1533-position model. The record is from RNAcentral.
GACGAACGCUGGCGGCGUGCUUAACACAUGCAAGUCGAGCGGUAAGGCCCUCGGGUACGACGAGCGGCGAACGGGUGAGUAACACGUGGGUGACCUGCCUCUAGCUCUGGGAUAAGCCUGGGAAACUAGGGUCGUAAUACCGGAUAUGACUCCACGGCGCAUGUUGUGGGGUGGAAAGCCUUGUGUGGCUAGAGAUGGGCCCGCGGCC